This 67-nucleotide transfer RNA is filed under the name Mylabris calida. RNAcentral describes it as "tRNA-Trp". Lineage: Eukaryota; Metazoa; Arthropoda; Insecta; Coleoptera; Meloidae. The record is from RNAcentral.
AAGGAUUUAAGUUAAAGGAAAACUAACAACCUUCAAAGUUGUAAAUAGAGAAAGGCUCUAAGCCUUA